Molecule: ribosomal RNA, 526 nt
Filed under: uncultured bacterium
Lineage: Bacteria
Description: bacterial SSU rRNA
Rfam family: Bacterial small subunit ribosomal RNA
Source: RNAcentral
ACAUUCAGAGAAUUUAGCAGAGAUGCUUUAGUGCCUUCGGGAACUCUGAGACAGGUGCUGCAUGGCUGUCGUCAGCUCGUGUUGUGAAAUGUUGGGUUAAGUCCCGCAACGAGCGCAACCCUUAUCCUUUGUUGCCAGCACGUAAUGGUGGGAACUCAAAGGAGACUGCCGGUGAUAAACCGGAGGAAGGUGGGGAUGACGUCAAGUCAUCAUGGCCCUUACGAGUAGGGCUACACACGUGCUACAAUGGCGCAUACAAAGAGAAGCGACCUCGCGAGAGCAAGCGGACCUCAUAAAGUGCGUCGUAGUCCGGAUUGGAGUCUGCAACUCGACUCCAUGAAGUCGGAAUCGCUAGUAAUCGUAAAUCAGAAUGUUACGGUGAAUACGUUCCCGGGCCUUGUACACACCGCCCGUCACACCAUGGGAGUGGGUUGCAAAAGAAGUAGAUAGCUUAACCUUCGGGAGGGCGUUUACCACUUUGUGAUUCAUGACUGGGGUGAAGUCGUAACAAGGUAGGCGUAGUGCU